This 492-nucleotide ribosomal RNA is filed under the name uncultured bacterium. RNAcentral describes it as "partial 16S ribosomal RNA". It matches the Rfam family "Bacterial small subunit ribosomal RNA", at positions 29 to 507 of the family's 1533-position model. The record is from RNAcentral.
AGUGAACGCUGGCGGUAGGCCUAACACAUGCAAGUCGAACGGCAGCACAGUAAGAGCUUGCUCUUACGGGUGGCGAGUGGCGGACGAGUGAGGAAUACAUCGGAAUCUACUUUUUCGUGGGGGAUAACGUAGGGAAACUUACGCUAAUACCGCAUACGACCUACGGGUGAAAGCAGGGGAUCUUCGGACCUUGCGCGAUUGAAUGAGCCGAUGUCGGAUUAGCUAGUUGGCGGGGUAAAGGCCCACCAAGGCGACGAUCCGUAGCUGGUCUGAGAGGAUGAUCAGCCACACUGGAACUGAGACACGGUCCAGACUCCUACGGGAGGCAGCAGUGGGGAAUAUUGGUCAAUGGGCGCAAGCCUGAUCCAGCCAUACCGCGUGGGUGAAGAAGGCCUUCGGGUUGUAAAGCCCUUUUGUUGGGAAAGAAAAGCAGCAGGUUAAUACCCCGCUGUUCUGACGGUACCCAAAGAAUAAGCACCGGCUAACUUCGUG